UUCCUACGGGCGGCUGCAGUGAGGAAUAUUGGGCAAUGGGCGAGAGCCUGACCCAGCAACGCCGCGUGGAGGAAGACGGCCUUCGGGUUGUAAACUCCUUUUGACAGGGAAGAGAGAGGACGGUACCUGUCGAAUAAGUCACGGCUAACUACGUGCCAGCAGCCGCGGUAAUACGUAGGUGACAAGCGUUAUCCGGAAUUACUGGGCGUAAAGCGCACGCAGGCGGCUGCUUAAGUCUGACGUGAAAUCUCCUGGCUUAACUGGGAGGGGUCGUUGGAAACUGGGUGGCGUGAGGUGGUGAGAGGGGUGCAGAAUUCCCGGUGUAGUGGUGGAAUGCGUAGAUAUCGGGAGGAAUACCAGUGGCGAAAGCGGCACCCUGGCACUGACCUGACGCUCAUGUGCGAAAGCGUGGGGAGCAAACGGGAUUAGAUACCCGGGUAGUCC
This 444-nucleotide ribosomal RNA is filed under the name uncultured Caldilinea sp. RNAcentral's name for it is "bacterial SSU rRNA". It matches the Rfam family "Bacterial small subunit ribosomal RNA", at positions 336 to 796 of the family's 1533-position model. Lineage: Bacteria; Bacillati; Chloroflexota; Caldilineae; Caldilineales; Caldilineaceae. The record is from RNAcentral.